CUUAGGGAAACCUAAGCUAAUACCGCAUAAUGCAGCGGGCUCCCAUAUGGAGACAGUUGUUAAAGCAUUUAUGUGCCUAAGGAGGAGCUUGCGGCAGAUUAGCUAGUUGGUAAGGUAAUGGCUUACCAAGGCGACGAUCUGUAGCCGGUCUAAGAGGACGGUCGGUCACACUGACACUGAAUAACGGGUCAGACUCCUACGGGAGGCAGCAGUCGGGAAUUUUGGGCAAUGGGCGAAAGCCUGACCCAGCAACGCCGCGUGAAGGAUGAAGUAUUUCGGUAUGUAAACUUCGAAAGUAUGGGAAGAAUAAAUGACGGUACCAUACAUAAGCUCCGGCUAACUACGUG
RNAcentral lists this ribosomal RNA (347 nucleotides) under uncultured bacterium. Its description in RNAcentral is "bacterial SSU rRNA". It matches the Rfam family "Bacterial small subunit ribosomal RNA", at positions 147 to 507 of the family's 1533-position model. The record is from RNAcentral.